AUUGUUCUCAGCAGAAGAUUACUUACUUCCAUCUUCUCAGUUCAGAGGAACAAGUCAGCGUCAUUUGCAAGGUAACCACAACAGUUCUUUCACAGCGGCCUGUCCUGUAGCAUCCCAAUGAACAACUACUGUACGACCCGUAUGGGAAUUUUUUUCAUGAGCAGAUCAACAAUGCCAAGGUUACCUCACGAAGAUCCGGGUGCCUCAAGCGUCGCUACCUUCUUGGGAGGGAAAUGAAAUAGACAACUAUGUCGUGACUGUACCACGCAUCGCGAACUCAGGAACGUCACAAAUCAGGAGCAGCAGAUGGAAGCAACAAAGAGGACAUUUAAACUGUGUGUACUCAGAUACAGAGCUUUGUUUCGGUUACUUAGUUGAAAACUGCACUGAUCGCUCAUGAGACAAGCAUAUGUUGCCUUGCGCGUUAGAAAAAUCU
Molecule: long non-coding RNA, 436 nt
Organism: Ornithodoros turicata
Lineage: Eukaryota; Metazoa; Arthropoda; Arachnida; Ixodida; Argasidae
Exons: 3
Source: RefSeq, a predicted model, not a curated record